Molecule: ribosomal RNA, 467 nt
Filed under: uncultured bacterium
Lineage: Bacteria
Description: partial 16S ribosomal RNA
Rfam family: Bacterial small subunit ribosomal RNA
Source: RNAcentral
GACGAACGCUGGCGGCGUGCUUAACACAUGCAAGUCGAACGGAAAGGCCUCUUUCGGGGGGUACUCGAGUGGCGAACGGGUGAGUAACACGUGAGUAACCUGCCCUUGACUUUGGGAUAACUUCAGGAAACUGGGGCUAAUACCGGAUAGGAGCUCCUGCUGCAUGGUGGGGGUUGGAAAGUUUCGGCGGUUGGGGAUGGACUCGCGGCUUAUCAGCUUGUUGGUGGGGUAGUGGCUUACCAAGGCUUUGACGGGUAGCCGGCCUGAGAGGGUGACCGGCCACAGUGGGACUGAGAUACGGCCCAGACUCCUACGGGAGGCAGCAGUGGGGAAUAUUGCACAAUGGGUGGAAGCCUGAUGCAGCAACGCCGUGUGCGGGAUGACGGCCUUCGGGUUGUAAACCGCUUUCGCUGAUGACGAAGCUUUGUGUGACGGUAGUGGGUAAAGAAGCACCGGCUAACUACGUG